CUUGCCUACGGGGGGCAGCAGUGGGGAAUAUUGCACAAUGGGGGAAACCCUGAUGCAGCAACGCCGCGUGAGUGAAGAAGUAUUUCGGUAUGUAAAGCUCUAUCAGCAGGGAAGAAGAUGACGGUACCUGAGUAAGAAGCCCCGGCUAACUACGUGCCAGCAGCCGCGGUAAUACGUAGGGGGCAAGCGUUAUCCGGAUUUACUGGGUGUAAAGGGAGCGUAGACGGCAGGGCAAGUCUGGAGUGAAAGACCGGGGCGCAACCCAGGGACUGCGUUGGAAACUGCCAUGCUGGA
Molecule: ribosomal RNA, 294 nt
Filed under: uncultured bacterium
Lineage: Bacteria
Description: partial 16S ribosomal RNA
Rfam family: Bacterial small subunit ribosomal RNA
Source: RNAcentral